This 223-nucleotide small RNA is filed under the name Arabidopsis thaliana (thale cress). Its description in RNAcentral is "putative long intergenic non-coding RNA". Lineage: Eukaryota; Viridiplantae; Streptophyta; Magnoliopsida; Brassicales; Brassicaceae. The record is from RNAcentral.
UAUUUCAUCUGAUGGAUACUUCUGAUUUGUGAUUUUUUUUUUAAAAACUUUUAAUUAGGUUUUGAAAGAUCAUUAACGAUCGCGAGACUUUACGAUUGAGGGGAUUUUGUUUGGAUGGUCGUAGCAUCACCGACGGUGGAGGAUGGCGGUAGAUACGGAGGGCGGUGGAGAGCCGUGAGGGAUGAAGUUACGGAGGAAGCGGUGGUCGUGGCUGGUAAUCGUA